CAUGCCUAAGACAUGCAAGUCGAACGAGGUGGCCCACUGAAUAAUAUUGAAAAUGGAGUGCUUGCACAAAGUUGGAUUAUUAUGACGUGAAUUUCCACCUAGUGGCAGACGGGUGAGUAACACGUGGGUGACCUACCUUAAGCUGGGGAUAACAGUUAGAAAUGAUUGCUAAUACCGAAUAAUAUAUAACAGUCAAUGUUAUAUUGAAAGGAGCCUUUAAAGCUUCACUUAAAGAUGGGCCUGCGGCGUAUUAACUAGGUUGGUGGGGUAAUGGCCUACCAAGGUGACGAUGCGUAGCCGAACUGAGAGGUUGAUCGGCCACACUGGGACUGAGACACGGCCCAGACUCCUACGGGAGACAGCAGUUAGGAAUAUUCGUCAAUGGGGGAAACCCUGAACGAGCAAUGCCGCGUUGAGUGAUGAAGGUCUUUGGAUUGUAAAACUCUGUUGUAUGGAAAAAACGACUAGGUUAGGAAAUGAACUUAGUGUGAUGGUACCAUACCAGAAAGCCCCGGCUAACUACGUGCCAGCCGCCGC
RNAcentral lists this ribosomal RNA (537 nucleotides) under uncultured bacterium. RNAcentral's name for it is "bacterial SSU rRNA". It matches the Rfam family "Bacterial small subunit ribosomal RNA", at positions 43 to 518 of the family's 1533-position model. The record is from RNAcentral.